GGAAGGUCUACAAGGCAAACAAAAGCAGACAAUGCAGACACCCGGUAGUGGUUAACAGCACUGGAGCCAGACGGGACAAGAUGGUGAGUACUAGAUACCAAGACAAGAAGAUGGCUGGGGUUACAAGACAAAAUAGCUAGAUAACCAGACUAGGCAGAAACUAGAUUUCCAGACAAGAUAGCGCUAGGUACUAGAAGGGGUCUAAGACCGAUAAGCUACGAGGCUAACAUUAACGAUCCGACACAAGACAAGAGAAACACAAGGAAUAAGAAGGGAAGGUAAUCAGAGUAGGGAUGAGGAGCAGCUGGGGAGAGAAAAGAACCCAGGUGACGUGAGGAAGUCGAAAGUGAUAAUAAAUUAGAUGACAAGAGGGGCGGGGUCAAGCACAUGGACUUCUGAGCACAUGGUGAGCUGUCAAACAAUACCUCGUGCUCAACACAACAAUGACAGAGGACAAAACACAAAACAGGAGUGCUAGACCCGAGACCUGACACGUAUUUAUACCGAUUUCAUCAGACUACGAAAAUUCUUCAAAAAGAACACAAAGAAUGGCCUUCUCAGCUGCCAUAGCUCAACUCUCGCGUCAUCACAACAGGGUGUUCAACCGCACCACCGUUUCCAUUUAAAAAAAACGUUUUGCAACUUUUUGUGGGGGCUGAACGCAGCCCAGGCUUGCUCGAUUUCAUAAAGCACUGCGAAUACCGGAUCAUUGAUUAAAAAGCAGGCGAAACAGUCGGUUCUCAAUGCUCAAACUAUACCAUUCAGUCACAAAAAACACCCAUACAAAUAAUAUAAAAAAAUAAUCUACAAUCUUUUAUAAUGAUAUAAAUUUGUAUAUAAUAUAAUAUCAUAUAAAUAUUUGCCUUCCUCAUUUGAUAUACAUUGCUUUGUGUGUCUGCUAAGGGUUUUCGUGAUAGUAAUAAUAGUAUCAUAUUGUAAGAUAUUAUUAUUGGCAGUUUUUGUUGCUUUUAACUUUGUGGCUAACCAAAACUGACCCAAAUCUUAACCGAACUACGUUCUUUUUAUGGCAAGCCUAACUCAAGGGUGUACAGUUAGAUGCUGCAAAUGUACAGAAAGGGAUUAAUCCAGUGCUCGAAUUGAGGGGGGGCUGGGGGGAUCCGGGAUCCCCAUAAGAAAUAAAAAAAAGAUGUCGGGGAUCCCUCAGAUAUUUUUAUUUGAGUAAAAAUUAUAAUGACAAAUGUGAUUAAAUUCAUGAAAUGGAUAUGGUAAAUUUCGUUAAUUAAUUAUUUACAAUAAUUUAUAUUAAGUUUGUUUAUGGGCUAGUUGUCAUGUCUCUUUAAAUUUGAAACGCCCCGCCCCACGUCUAAAGACCGCUAAAUGCAGGACAUCGUUGACAUGACUGGCAUCGCUCCGGUGAAGCUACUUCAGCUAAAAAAUGGAGAAUAAAAAAACCCCACUCGUAGUCGGGAAGAGGAAGCUUCUACUUUUUUGAGGGGUAAUUUUCUCUCUAUAUAUAUACAGUAUUCCCACUACAUUUAUCAACUCCAUGUCGGGGCUUUUGUAUUCCUUGCGUAAACUAUUAUUAGGCCUGGUUUUGGGGUGCUAGAGAUCUCGAUGAAGAUGAGUGACAGCUUUUUAGUAAUUAUAAAGGGAGUGCUUGUUGUGCGGUUUCUGUGCUAUAUAUAAUCCAUUCAGAAUUGUAUAAAACUUGCUUUUCAUGCUGCUAAGACCAACGGCCACAUACACGCUGCAAAGGAAUUACAUCGACAUAUUAAUGCGGGAUUCACUCUUGAAAUAGCCAUGAUUGACAUAUUGAUAGUCAUACUGUAGUUAGUUCCUGAAUAAAGCAGACUUUUGGACUGAAAUGGUUGAAUAGUCUGCUGACUGAUAGACUCACUCAUAACAGUCCGUUGCCGCCACCUACUGGACGUAACUAUGUAAACUGCACUGAAAUCGUUGAAAAAUACCCACAACACUAACACACUUACUGACAGCCGGUCUUGUCACAGUUUAUAUUUUUAAUAUCUAAUAAACUAGUGAAAGUGAAAAGUUUCUUGCAUUUAAACAAGUCUUUUGGAACAAACAUUAUUAUCACAAUGUGUCAAUCAUCCAGUUGUUUUUAGGGAAAAUAGUAAAUACUACAUUGGUUAAUAAUGCUAGAAUUAUUCUGUUGGACGUACUCUACUGUUCAAAAGUAAUUUCUGUUCACCAAGCCUGCAUUGAUUUGAUCCAAAAUACAGUAAAAGAAGCCUGUUCUUUUAUUUAAGCCUGUUUUUAAUGAAUAGUAUAUAAUUAUGCAUAUUAUGAUCAAAUAUAUUGUGUAUUUUGUAUAAAUUGUAUAUUGCGAGACUAACCCCCACCAAAAAAAAAAUCUUAUGGUGUGGACCCCCCAUAAAAUUUGACUCAAAUCAAGCACUGGAUUAAUCUAUGGGCCUUGGUCUGUUAAUCUACAGGAUUAAACUGUAUAUUGAAAUAACAGUAUUCUUAACAGCAAUUUGUUACAAUGCAGGGAGCUAUUGGGAGAGGACGCAGCACAAAAGGUAGAUUAUGUGGCUUUGUCGGACAAUACAGGGAGCACGCAUAGGUGACAUGGCCAGUGAUAUUGCUUCGCAAAUUUUAGAGCAACUGCGAGACAGUGAAUAUUUUGUGCUGCAGCUGGAUGAAAGUACCGAUGUAGCAAAUCAAGCACAAUUUAUGCUUAUGCUACAUUCGUUUCCUCAGACGGGACAGAUUUAUCGAGUAAUUUGAACUCAUGAAUUGCGUAUAAAUAACACGCGUGUUGCAUGAUCGUGAAAUACGUACGCCAAAGUUUGAUUUUGCGUGCAUAAAUACGCCUAUUUUUGCGUGCAUAUGAUACGCCAAUUUAGCGCGCAUGCAUAUUAACCGGCAAUUUGUCUUAUUAACCUGUCCCCAAACCCUAAACCUAAUGUUAGCGUGCGUGCAUAUUAUAACCUCUACCCUAACCCAAACCCUAAACCUAACAGUAUUAUUUUAAUUAUUUCAGUGUUUCCUCUUCGUGUACGUUUUAAAAAUGGCUGCUGUUCAGCGAGGUGCACGCAAACAUUGGCGUAUCAUAUGCACGUAAAAUCGAACUUUGGCGUACGUAUUUCACGAUAAUGCAACAGCGUGUUAUUUAUACGCAAUUCAUGAGACCGGGUUGGGAGAGCCACAGAACAGGAUAUAUUUUAUAUGAUCGAUCAAUUUAUGAAGGACAAUUCAGUAGACUGGUCUCGGUGUGAUGGAGUGUGCACUGACGCUAUGACCGGUAAACACAGCAGAUUUGUAACGAUGAUAAAAGAGGAAGCCCCUAACGCUGUUGCGACACACACUGCAUGCUUCAUCGUGAGGCUCUUGUGGCCAAACGAAUGGAUGAUGAAUUGCAAUGCAUCAAGUGCUGAGAGAUGUAGUUAAAACUGUGAACUAUGUCAAAUCACACCCAUUGAAAUGCAGACUUUUAGGUUUACUCUACAAGAAAUGGGUGCAGAUUACGAGUGUUUGCUGCUCCACUCAGAAGUACACUGGCUUUCGCGCGGGGCUGUGUUAAGUCGGGUGUAUGGGCUGCGCAAAGAGCUGAGAGAGUUUCUCUCUGGUGAAAAGACAGAACUUGCCAAAUGUUUUGAAGAUGACUCGUGGAUACUAAAGUUGUCAUACAUGUCCUCAAUCAGAGCAUGCAAGGGCACAAUGUGUACAUACUGAAUGCACAAGAUAAGGUACGUGCAUUCACACAGAAAAUAUCUCUGUGGGAAACCAAACUGCAGGAGGGAGUUACAGAAAUGUUUCCUCUCUUUACCUAAAAGUGCAUCUCCUCCACUGCUGACAACAUCAUGCGCAUAAUCCAGUCUCACCUGUCACAUCUCAAGGGCUAUUUUAAACAAUAUUUCCCUGAUUUGAACAACACCCACCUGGAGUUUGUUAGAAACCCAUUUGCACCAGGGGUUGGCACUCAUCUGGAUCUAGCAGAACAAGAGCAACUGAUUGACUUGACAAAUGAAGGAGAGAUGGAAACAAAGUUCCAAAGCCUUUCUAUGUCAAAGUUUUGGAUGUCUGCUAGAAAGGACUACCCUGCUUUGUCUGAAAAGGCAAUAAAAAGUGUAUUUUACCUUUCGAUACAACCUACUUGUGUGAAGCUGGAUUUUCAGCACUGAAAAAAGUACUUCAGUCCAAGCAUAGAGCCCGUCUGGAUGUUGAAAAUGACAUGCGCCUAGCUCUCACUAAAAUAAAGCCACGCUUUGACAAACUGUGUAGGAGCCACCAGGCUCAUCCAUCCCAUUUGGAGUUUUUGUAUCAGUGAAUGUUUGUUCGAUUUGAUUCACAUGUUUUAAUUCAAAUGACCUUCAGGUUCAGCUUGUCAUAUACUACUACCUUAUAAAAAGUUACCCUGUUCAGUUAAAGGGGUCAUAUGGUGCGAAUACAUGUUUUUCUGUGUCUGGUGUGUUAUAAGUUGCCCAUGAAUGUAUUAGACACGUAAAAUUGCAAAAAUUAAAGUGUUGGAACAAAAGAUGCAUUCUAUCUAAAAGCGAAUGCUCACCCAGACCUGCCUGAAACACCUCAUGUAACCACACCCCCACAAAUCUACAUCAGUUCGUGGUAUGAUUUGACUAAGACCACCCAAAAGUAUACGUAAGUAAAGUGGGCGUAAAGUUUCAGCACAAUAGAAGAGGAACCUGAGGUUCCAAAAUGGUAAGAGGGGUUACAUUUCCGUCACACACUUGCAGUAUUCGACCAAUCACUACGCACUGGUUAACUAGCCAAUCAUAGCACACCUCGCUUUUCGGAGCGAUGAGCUUUGUAAAAAAUCUGCGUGUUUCAGAGAGGCAGGGCAAAGAGGAGAUACAAACAUGCACGGUAUGUGUAAAAUACAACAUUUUUAAACCUUAAAUCGUGUACACACAUUGCAUUACAUCUAAAACAAACUAUAAUAUUCGUUUCAGCCGUGUCAUGUCACUUCUUUAAUGUAAAUAUUUUGCAAUUUCAGGAAUGAAAAAAGCUACAGAAGUUGUAAUUUGAAAUGCUAAAUUGUUAAUUCUUAUAAGAAUCAUUUUUGGCUAUAAUGAAUUUAGUUGUCAAAUAAUACAAGAACUAGAAAACUAGAACAAGAACUAGAAAUUUUAAAUGAUGAUUUGUUGUAAUAUGAAUUGUAUCGUGUAUUUACAGUAUGUAAAUGUCUUCGUAAAUAAAAUAGGGCUGAAACGAUUCCUCGAGUUAUUCGAAUACAAAAAAUCAUCGAGGCAAUUUUUGUUGCCUCAAAACCUCAUUUAAUCCAUUUAACUACAGUACACACGGAACGCUGCAUUUCCCCACGGACCGUUAUUACUGACGCACAGCCCGCUAAACUCUAUUCAUGUUACAGGGCUCUCAAGUGUCUUGAUUCUGCCUCAUCUUGUCAUGUCUUUAUUGAUCUCGUGGCAGAAUCACGGCAGGAUACCCUGUUUUAUGUGGAGAGAAGUAGUUUUGGCCUUCCAUAUUCUCCCUCUCUCCAGUGUCGCGUCUUUAGCCCCGCCCUCUCGUUCCCUCGUUAACUUCUCCUUAGUGUUUGAUCCUUAAGUUGUCACCUGCCCGUCACCCUCCCUGUAUUAUUAUUCCUUGUUUGUAUUCCCCAAUAUAAAGCCUCUGUUUUUCCUGUCCUGUGUCGGUUCAUUGUUGAAGUGCUCGUGUUCAUGCAUUGUCUUGCCCGUGUAGUAAGUUUGAGUUUUUGAUUAUUUUUAGUUCUCAUUUUGCCCCAUUGUGGGAAGUUUUUGUUUGUCUUUUGAAAGGUCUUUGGUUUAUAGUGUUUUUUUGUUACCCCACUGUGGGUUAUUGUUUUGUAUUUAUAAUUAAAGUUCUGUGUUUACCCUUUACUGUUGCCUGCAUCUGGGUUCUUCCUCCCUUGAUCACGACAAAUAUAUUUUAUUGAGACAGGCUUGUGGCCUGAAGGAGUACUGCAGAGGACACAACAUAACACAAAUGAGUUUCACAAAUCUGUGGUGUUCUGUUUCCAGUGCUGUGUCCACCCAUGUUAUGCAUUUGUGCCUUCUCCUGCUCUGCACUUUUAAAGCCCACUGUACGGUAUGCAAACGUCAUGUUUACGAUGGUGAACUUACUGUAUGUAGAGAUCUGAGUAAAGUGGUUUGCUAUUCUGUAUUAGUAUAAAGGUAUAUUUAAAUGAAUUUUUUUUAUUUAGUAGGCCAUCAUACACUAUGGUUUGGCUGUGCUGCAGAAUUUGUCCGUGCAAGAUGCUGAGCAAGUUUUCCUCAAUGAUCUGGAUUACCAUCGCAGGCUGUGGCAUCUGGAUGUUUACUGAUGAUACAUAUCCCUCUACUGUGAUCUACUGUGUGUCAGUGAAGCCUACAUGCAAUGUGUGAGCUGAUGGGCAAAAGGUCAUUGUAAAUAUUUUUUAAAUUGUUUUUUUUUAUUGCACUUUUUUCCAAAAAAAACAGACCUGGCACCCUGCAGUACUGAAGGAUACAACUGGGAUAUACACAGCUCUUCAUUGCAUACAUUACUUUAUGGACUUUCUCUCUGUUUAUGGCUGAUGUUAGGAAAAAUGUUACUGAGUCACCAUUCACUUAUACAAAAACGCUAGUCAAAAAGCAAACAUUUUUCUCUUGUGCUCUGUUUGUGCUCUGCUAAGGAAAGAGAGUCAGGAGUGUUUGGAAUAUGAUGGUGACAUCAUCUCCAGCUCCAUUUUAAAACAAAGGUCGUUUUACAGCAAUUCAUCUUAUGGGUUCUUAACACAGAUAACUGUUUCAGUGUUAAAUAAUCAUCACGAGAGGAAAGAUAGAUCUGAUUUAAAAUAAAAAAUCAUAUCUGACUAUUAAUCAGAACUCAUAAUGAAUUCUUUAAAGGCAGAAUAUGAUGAGACAUUUACACAAAUCCACAGCCAUGGAGAGUUAACAGAGAGAUGAUUCUCUGGACGUUCCCAUAGGUUUCUCACCAAUUUAAACAUUUAUUCAGAGUGAGGGCAGAGGGUCAGCGAGUCAGACACCAUCCGGCUGCGGGACAAUGCUCAGGGAAGUUGUGUGAACAUGCCAAUUACAGCCUGGGGAGACGAUCCCGAGCACUCCACGUGACCCACGUUCCCAUGAUCACCACUCACACAUUACAGCAGAUGAAAUAUACAGAAGAGAACCUGCCUGAGCAGACUCACAGACCCCCAAUCAGACUCAGAGGUGGACAGUAACGAAGUAAAUUUACCUGAGUACUGUACUUAAGUACACUUUCUGAGUAUCUGUACUGUACUUGAGUAUUAUUUUUUCGGAGUACUUGUACUUUAACUUCACUACAUUUGAAAGACAAAUAUCAUACUUUUUACUCCACUACAUUUAUAAAAAGGUCCAAAAGUAGAAAAUGGUUUCUAUGCAGCGGGGUUUCCCGUGUGCGCAAUUUAUCUGGCUUGCGAUCUGCCAGGACCUUUUACUGUUGCCAAGUAUUUCAGUUUUUCUAAACUCGCGGUUUUCCGGCAAGCUUUGAGUGGCCAUUUGGCGGAUUUUUUUACGCAAAUCGGGCAACUCUGGGAUCUUCCCCGCUAAACUAAUGUAAACGUAGGCGCUGCUACACCGUUGAUAGCGCUCUAAAAAGGCAAAUAGAACAAUAAAAGAUGAAAAAGGCAGAUGUUAAAGUGUGGUGUAAUCAUCUGUGGGUUACGAUCAGUCAAAGAACAUAGAAACAUCGUCAUGAAAAUGAUCGGCAUAACGGCUAAACGGUAAAUAAGCAUCACAUACACCUUGAGCUACGCGUGCGUGUUAACUUCUGAUCUGCUGCUAUAUCAUUUAAAGCGAUUUGGAAAAUGAAUGAUGUUUUUACUGAAGUAACUAUAGUUGAAGUAUUCCUGUUGAAAUAAAAACAAUAGAACCCUGCGCAAAAUACAACAGAAAAUGUAAUGGAUUUAAUGGUUAUAUUGGGAAUUGUACUAUGGAUACUUGUUGUCUACUUGUAUGUGAUGGAUUCUAUUGAUGGGAUGGUAAAUCCUAUUGAAAUAAAACCCAAAACACACUACAAAGAGGAAUUUAAUUUAAAAAUCUCAUUCUAGUUAAAAAAUUCAUUGUUUUUUUCAGCAGGGGUGGUUUUGCAGUAAAACCACAGUAUCCACAAAUUUACCAUUUUCUAUAUAUAGGAACCAUACUCCAAUUAAUAAUCUUUAGUAAAACCACAGCAACUAAAAAUACCAUAGUUUCAUUAUACUAGCUAUAUGUUUGUAGUUAAAUUAUGGUAAUACAAAUGGUAAUAAAUCCAACAAACACAUGGCUUCUACACUAGUAGUAUAUAUCAUAGUGUCAAAAUGAUUG
Long non-coding RNA from Triplophysa rosa, 8225 nucleotides. RefSeq lists it as uncharacterized. NCBI's taxonomy places the organism in Eukaryota, Metazoa, Chordata, Actinopteri, Cypriniformes, Nemacheilidae. The record is from RefSeq and is a predicted model, not a curated record. The transcript has 4 exons.